GGGCCUAUAGCUCAGCUGGGAGAGCGUUCGGUUCGCAUCCGAGAGGUCAAGGGUUCGAAUCCCUCUAGGUCCACCA
This 76-nucleotide transfer RNA is filed under the name Faecalibacterium prausnitzii. Its description in RNAcentral is "tRNA-Ala". It matches the Rfam family "tRNA". From Rfam's summary of the family: Transfer RNA (tRNA) molecules are approximately 80 nucleotides in length. Their secondary structure includes four short double-helical elements and three loops (D, anti-codon, and T loops). Lineage: Bacteria; Bacillati; Bacillota; Clostridia; Eubacteriales; Oscillospiraceae. The record is from RNAcentral. RNAcentral also lists the same sequence under 23 other names.